RNAcentral lists this long non-coding RNA (1027 nucleotides) under Cricetulus griseus (Chinese hamster). Its description in RNAcentral is "lncRNA (ENSCGRG00015035839.1)". The record is from RNAcentral. Lineage: Eukaryota; Metazoa; Chordata; Mammalia; Rodentia; Cricetidae.
ACUUGCGAACCAGUAGCUCUGUGAGGAAAGAUGACUCUUGGACUCUUGGACAAUUUGGAAGGGGAAGCACCUGACGCAGGAACCAGAGAACCAGCUUGUUUCUGAUUGAGGCUGCGCUAAGAGCCCAGCCUGCUGGCCUGCGCAGUUUCCCCCUAAUGGUCCUGGGGUUCACAAUACACCAAGAAGCAAACGAACUGGGGGGACAGAAACCGCCAUAAAGGUGUGGAUUAGACCUGGGUCUGAAUCCCGCUACUUCGGCCAACAGCGCUACAGACCGGAUUUAAAUACUUCAUUGUUGUAAUAUUACAUAAUUUGCUUCUCUCUCUCCUUCCAAAAAUGGAAUAUACUGGGCCAUUUUCCCUGAGUCAUUGAGUCAGGGAAAGUUUACCGCUAGCUCGACUUCCUUCCUCAUGACUAAUGUUUUCUUAAGAAAGUUUUUCACAGCUGGAUAGAUGACUCAGCAGUCAGGGGUGCUUGUUCCACAAGCCUGAGUUUGACCCCCAGAGCCCCCUUAAAAGUGGAAGAGUAUGACCUCUGACGCAUUCUACAGGGGUGGGGAGCAAUAUACAUUUAUAAGAUUCCAGGUGGAAAGCACACAUUAUUCCUGCUACAGAUUUUCAACAAAAAAAGUACUACAACAACAACAUUCAAAUUGAAGAUUUCCAAGAGAAGGGUGUGAAACCUUAUUUUGACAAAUAGGAGGGCCAGUAUUGUGACUGUGUGUGACAACUGAGCCCAAAUAUCCCAGAAAGGAGGUAUUACAAAGAGGCACGAAGUUAAACAACCAAACAAAGUGAGCAGCCCAGGUAAAUACAAAUAAACUUCAGUGGGAUUUAUAUGACAAAGUAGAACACCAGAAUUGGCCUGGCUGCCAAGAGAAUUGGGUGAGAUGGGACAACUCUGCCAAUGAACAAUGGCCUAGUCUGGAAUACAACAAGACCCAAUUUCCUUCUUCCCUUUCUUUCAUGCUGUUUCUUUAAAAAAUAAAAAUAAAUAAAUAAAUAAAAUGAAAGCAGUGACAUUCAAC